UUUUGUUGACUUUUAGAUACAGACGUAUUCACAAAUUAGUUUUAUUUGUGUUUUAGGUUGUGAUGGCGAAAUGUCCUCAACAUGUAACGUGACCGGAUGUCGGAAUGACCGCAGAGCUCAGCUGAAACGCAGGCAAAUUGAGAUGCCACACAUCUGGAAGCUUAGGUUCCUCAAAUCCAGACAUGAUGACAUUAAAGCCAGUCGUCUUUAACAGUAAUAGAGGAGAUAAGGCAUACAGGGUUUCCAAUGGUACAAGGGUCUGUAGUAAUCAUUUCAGGAAAGGCGAGUAUAAUAAAGGAGACGUGUCUUGCCUGUAUCUGYGGGGAUAUCCUGAGUGGGCCUCAUCAAGAGAGGAUCUUCGGAAAAAAAAAGCAGCGAGUCUGGAUGCUGCUAUUGUUCAUGAGGUGACGGCUCACGCUUUCCAGUACGUUCUUCACUCUGAGGCUACUGUGCAAGAACUGCUACAUAAGCUCCAAAAGAAGCAUAAUGAGUCUGGAAAGCAUUUUGAAACAGAUGCAGCUUUUUAAAAUGCUGAUCCUGAUGUGGUGUGCGAUCUGUUGUGUGACACUCUGCAUCUAUUCACAUCGACUGCCAAAUUACAGGAAGCUAUUGCGAURUACAAACAUGGUGUUUUGAUCAAAAAUGCAUCAAUCAUCAAGAAAACUAGGAAACAAAGUGUGCCUGCAACUCAUGGCUGUGAUACGAGUAUAGAACAGCAAGUAGAGGACAUGGUGAUUUCAUACAGUAUAUCAGAUUGUCAUAACUAUUGUUCAGUUCCUUAUGUUCAUCCACCAUCCAGUGACAAAGGAGGCAUGUCAAAAUUGAAGUUAAAGUUAUGCACAAAGAAAAUGGGUUUAACUAAGAAAAAAUUGUUGAAAUGGUCCGCCAGCGUACUCAAAGCAAAAGUGAUAGGGAUCCUCAAGGAGAGUAAAGAAUUGAAAAAGAAAAAUAAAUAUUUGGCAGCAAAUGUGACAUAUUUAGAGACUGAACUGAAACACAAUAGGAAUAUAAAUAGAAGGGUAUAAUUCUCUUGSUGACUGCUACAUGUUAGUUGUGCAGCUUGUGAAAGGAAUAGAAUCUAAUGGCAAAUUUAGACCAGGAGGUUUGUAUUAAAAUAUACAGUAUAUUUUUGAAAUCAGAACUAUAUUGGUAGUAUAUUUCUCAGCCUCUAGAGGGCACCCAUGCACUAGCUAACCCACUCUAAAGAAAAUUAACUUUUAACAUACUUAAAAAAAAUCAAACCUGCAUACAUAUAGCUAUCUAUUUUACUGUUUUGGUGGGGUGUAUAGAGGGGUAUGCUGUGAGUUUUUUUUAGCAUGAUCUUUAGCGUAUGAGCUGACCUGCUUAAAGGAGCGAAUAUGAAAAAUAUUGCAAAAAACCUUUGGAAAGAAAUUUUUAUUUUAGUAAAUGUUAGAGAAACUGUACACAGACUGUAUGAUGUCACAAUUUUAAUGUCAGUGGAUCGUUUUCAGUGUCAUACAUGUUACAAAUCCAAAGAGUAAAAAAAGUGCACAU
Austrofundulus limnaeus is the source of this 1515-nucleotide long non-coding RNA. RefSeq lists it as uncharacterized. The transcript has 3 exons. Lineage: Eukaryota; Metazoa; Chordata; Actinopteri; Cyprinodontiformes; Rivulidae. The record is from RefSeq and is a predicted model, not a curated record.